AGCGAACGCUGGCGGCAGGCUUAACACAUGCAAGUCGAGCGGGCACUCCGGUGUCAGCGGCCGACGGGUGAGUAACACGUGGGAACGUACCCUUUGGUUCGGAAUAACGCUGGGAAACUAGCGCUAAUACCGGAUACGCCCUUUUGGGGAAAGGCUUGCUGCCGAAGGAUCGGCCGGCGUCUGAUUAGCUAGUUGGUGGGGUCAUGGACUACCAAGGCGACGAUCAGUAGCUGGUCUGAGAGGAUGAUCAGCCACACUGGGACUGAGACACGGCCCAGACUCCUACGGGAGGCAGCAGUGGAGAAUAUUGGACAAUGGGCGCAAGCCUGAUCCAGCCAUGCCGCGUGGGUGAUGAAGGCCUUAGGGUUGUGAAGCUCUUUUGUCCGGGACGAUAAUGACGGUACCGGAAGAAUAAGCCCCGGCUAACUUCGUG
RNAcentral lists this ribosomal RNA (433 nucleotides) under uncultured bacterium. RNAcentral describes it as "partial 16S ribosomal RNA". It matches the Rfam family "Bacterial small subunit ribosomal RNA", at positions 29 to 507 of the family's 1533-position model. The record is from RNAcentral.